Molecule: long non-coding RNA, 2725 nt
Filed under: Vigna radiata
Lineage: Eukaryota; Viridiplantae; Streptophyta; Magnoliopsida; Fabales; Fabaceae
Description: long non-coding RNA (VRAD_LNC001531)
Source: RNAcentral
AAAAAAAAAAAAAAAAACUCACCAAAGAAGGCUGACUAUAUACAAAUCAUCCUCUAGCCCAUAACAAACCUUCCCUCUGUCUUGGUUUUAAAGGGCUCUCUCAGCUUACAAAUUGGGUACAACAAUUUCCUCCCCGUACUGAACCAUAAAGACUCACCACAAGGCGGUGAGUUACAAUGGAGUUUAUUCUUUUAAUAUCUUAUUUUGAUUUUCGUAUGAAUUUAAUUUUACAAUUUUUAUUUUUCAUUUUAGAUUAAUAAAAUUUAAGGUAGUUGUAGAAUUUUAGUCCAAUAUAUCAAGAAGGAAAGUCCCCGAUGAUAAUUGCCACCUAAACUAUGUUAUGCAUAUAAAAUAGCCUCUUAUUUGUAAAACAGUACACAACAAAGCUUGUCAUAUCACUCCAACGAUUUUCUUAAGUUUCCUUGAAUCAAAAUGGUCUAUCUAUAUACAAGAUUUACAACAUCACAUUACGGUAUCAUUCCAUCCAUCUAGCCAACAACUCCAGUGGGUAGAAGUUAUAUUUGAGUUUUUUUACUCCUUGUAGAUUAUGGAGUUUCUACCUCAGGUUACAAAGGUAGUAAAAAAUGGAGAUCUUACCUAAGGAUCAGCAAAGACAGAGAAUGAAACAGAAAAUAUGACAUAUUGUAAGAUCCUAUUUAAAAACAUGAAACUAAAUUCAUAUCGUAUAACAGCAAUCACCUUAAAAUUACAAACUAACACUCACAGAGUGCGAGGUGGGAAGGAUAGAAAUAGGUGAGAAAUAGGGUUGACAGAAAUAGAGAGAAGAAGAAUACAGUAAAAACCCCUUUGCUAGAUUAGGGUUUUUUAUGGCUUUCAGUUUUCAGUUAGUGGGUUGUAACAAAUCUAGUAAUUUUGGGUUAUAAAAACCCUAUCCUUGAUGAUAAAAGAUAAGCAGAAAUAUUCAGAUAAGUUGUGUGAGAAGUUGGGCAGUGUUACCUGGGUUCCGGUAAUAUAGCUGUGAGUGUGCGUCAGUGCAUUGCUUUAAGGAAUUGUGGAGGUGGAGAAAUUUUUGGAGUAGGUACCAAUUACAUGAACAGGUUUGGCACUGGAAGAGGUGGAAAAGGUUGAUAGCAGGGGACAGAGUAUCUGUCUGUGGGUUGCGGAAGGAGAAAAGUUAUUAAAAAUUGGUAUAAGCCGGGAAGGAUGAUUACUAACAAGGAGUUAGAAAGCAGAGUGUAUAUUAUCAAAAAGACCUUGACAGAUAUGUCAGCAACUCAAGAUAUUAUUCAGCAAAAAUUAACAAUGUUACAGCAGUCCAUUGAAAGUCUAGUCUCUUAUUUAGCUGUGUUGAAUUUGGGUCAUCAAGAACCAUCUACGUUAAGUAUCCAAGAAUCUUCAUAUGUUUCUGCUUCAAUUCUUGGACGUGCAGAGCUUCAAUUUCCAUCUUUUGAUGGAAUCAAUUACAGGGAGUGGGGGGCUAAGGCUGAACAAUUCUUUGAAUUAGAAUUUACUCUGGUGGCUCAACGAGGAAAAUUGUUGCUGCUGUCCAUGGAUGGAAAAGCUCUCUUGGCAACGACAUUACAUACAUCAACCUGAUUUCAAGAAUAAGUCUUGGCAACAAAUUUUACAGGAUAUGGCAUGCCGAUUUGAUGAUAGUGUGUAUGAUGAACCAACAGUGGAGUUAUCAAGAUUAAAACAAGGAUAAUUGGACAAGUAUUUGUAGGUUUUCGAUUCUCUAUUCGCUCAGGUGAUUGUGUCUCAAUCCAUGGGCUUGAGUUUCCUUUUGUCCAGAUUAAAGAUUGACUUGGAGGAAAUUGUCCACAUUCGUAUGCCUCGACCUUUGCAAGAGGCGGUGCAUUUGAGCAGACUUCAAUUGGAUAUUUUAAAGGAUUUAGAGAAGAAAAUGUUGCGAGGUAGGGUGAUAAGUUCUAAUACUCAAACCACAUGUGUAAGCACAGGGUUGGCACCAUGUAAUUCUUAUCAUACAUCUUCUAUCACCAGUUUGAAUUUUGUUUUAGCUAAUAUGGAUACUAAAGGUAACAAUUCAUCUUCUAUAUCUCGCAAAGAUGUUAGUGACAGAAUUGCUAAAGGUUUAUGCAGAUUUUGAGGUGAGCAAUGGGAUAAAAAACAUAGGUUGAAAUGUAAAGUUUGGGGUAAGCUCAAUGAUAUCUUCUCUGUUAAUGAAGCAAUUGAGUCAGAAAUAGGUUGAGCAACAGAUUAUGAAACUGAUCAAAUUUUUAUUAAUCAUAUCAUUGAUUUGAUUAAAGAAGUAGAUGAUCGGAAUUCACAUAAUGUUGUGCAGGGAAUCACAUGAUACCCAAGAGUUUUGAGCAGCCACAGAAGUUUUGAUUCAACGGACCGAAACAAAUCUAGAAGAUGCAGUAUGGCGUGAACUUCACCAAAUGCAACAACAGUUUCCAAAUUUUGAUUUGUCUUCUUAGAUCAGGUCCUAAGGACAAGACCUAGGUUGAUGGAGGGUAAAUUGUGCACACUGGAUUAACAUCCCGGUACCUCUCUCCUCUCUAUCCAAAAAAACUAAAGACAGAAGCAAAAGAUGUCAUGUGAUCAUUUCCCUCAACCAAAAAUUCAAUCAUCAAUAAAAUCAACUAUGUUGACAAAUUUAUCCACACCAUUCAGUUACAGGAGAGAUUAAAGAAAAUUACUAUAGUUAAGGAUCAAUUAUCAAAAUCCUGGAAUCAAACACAAGUAACUAACUUAGACAGUCCUUAACUGAUACAAGGCGAAAUUAAGUUAAGGCUAAUAA